Molecule: ribosomal RNA, 873 nt
Filed under: uncultured bacterium
Lineage: Bacteria
Description: bacterial SSU rRNA
Rfam family: Bacterial small subunit ribosomal RNA
Source: RNAcentral
GAUGAACGCUAGCGGCAGGCUUAAUACAUGCAAGUCGAGGGGCAGCACAGUGUAGCAAUACAUGGGUGGCGACCGGCAAACGGGUGCGGAACACGUACACAACCUUCCUUCAAAUGGGGAAUAGCCCAGGGAAACUUGGAUUAAUACCCCGUAACAUUAUGAGGUGGCAUCACUUUAUAAUUAUAGCUCCGGCGUUUGAAGAUGGGUGUGCGGCUGAUUAGGUAGUUGGCGGGGUAACGGCCCACCAAGCCUUCGAUCAGUAACUGGUGUGAGAGCACGACCAGUCACACGGGCACUGAGACACGGGCCCGACUCCUACGGGAGGCAGCAGUAAGGAAUAUUGGGCAAUGGACGCAAGUCUGACCCAGCCAUGCCGCGUGGAGGAUGAAGGUCCUCUGGAUUGUAAACUUCUUUUCUCUGGGGCGAAAAACAGGUUUUCUAACUUGCUUGACAGUACCAGAGGAAUAAGCACCGGCUAACUCCGUGCCAGCAGCCGCGGUAAUACGGAGGGUGCAAGCGUUAUCCGGAUUCACUGGGUUUAAAGGGUGCGUAGGUGGGUUGGUAAGUCAGUGGUGAAAUCUCCGGGCUUAACCUGGAAACUGCCAUUGAUACUAUCAAUCUUGAAUACCUUGGAGGUGAGCGGAAUAUGUCAUGUAGCGGUGAAAUGCUUAGAUAUGACAUAGAACACCAAUUGCGAAGGCAGCUCACUACACGGUCAUUGACACUGAGGCACGAAAGCGUGGGGAUCAAACAGGAUUAGAUACCCUGGUAGUCCACGCCCUAAACGAUGGAUACUCGACAUCAGCGAUACACUGUUGGUGUCUGAGCGAAAGCAUUAAGUAUCCCACCUGGGAAGUACGACCGCAAGGUUGA